GCAGCAGUGGGGAAUUUUGGACAAUGGGCGCAAGCCUGAUCCAGCAAUGCCGCGUGCAGGAUGAAGGCCUUCGGGUUGUAAACUGCUUUUGUACGGAACGAAAAGGUUCUCUUUAAUAAAGAGGGCUCAUGACGGUACCGUAAGAAUAAGCACCGGCUAACUACGUGCCAGCAG
RNAcentral lists this ribosomal RNA (174 nucleotides) under uncultured bacterium. RNAcentral describes it as "partial 16S ribosomal RNA". It matches the Rfam family "Bacterial small subunit ribosomal RNA", at positions 348 to 514 of the family's 1533-position model. The record is from RNAcentral.